RNAcentral lists this ribosomal RNA (500 nucleotides) under uncultured bacterium. Its description in RNAcentral is "partial 16S ribosomal RNA". It matches the Rfam family "Bacterial small subunit ribosomal RNA", at positions 30 to 523 of the family's 1533-position model. The record is from RNAcentral.
AUUGAACGCUGGCGGCAUGCUUUACACAUGCAAGUCGAACGGCAGCACGGGGGCAACCCUGGUGGCGAGUGGCGAACGGGUGAGUAAUGCAUCGGAACGUACCCGGGAGUGGGGGAUAACGUAGCGAAAGUUACGCUAAUACCGCAUAUUCUGUGAGCAGGAAAGUGGGGGACCGUAAGGCCUCACGCUUCUGGAGCGGCCGAUGUCGGAUUAGCUAGUUGGUGGGGUAAAGGCUUACCAAGGCGACGAUCCGUAGCGGGUCUGAGAGGAUGAUCCGCCACACUGGGACUGAGACACGGCCCAGACUCCUACGGGAGGCAGCAGUGGGGAAUUUUGGACAAUGGGCGCAAGCCUGAUCCAGCCAUGCCGCGUGAGUGAAGAGGGCCUUCGGGUUGUAAAGCUCUUUUGUUGGGGAAGAAAUGCUCUGGGUUAAUACCCUGGGGUGAUGACGGUACCCAAAGAAUAAGCACCGGCUAACUACGUGCCAGCCGCCGCAGUAA